AACAGGAUUAGAUACCCUGGUAGUCCACGCCGUAAACGAUGUCGACUUGGAGGUUGUUCCCUUGAGGAGCGGCUUCCGGAGCUAACGCGUUAAGUCGACCGCCUGGGGAGUACGGCCGCAAGGUUAAAACUCAAAUGAAUUGACGGGGGCCCGCACAAGCGGUGGAGCAUGUGGUUUAAUUCGAUGCAACGCGAAGAACCUUACCUACUCUUGACAUCCAGCGAACUUAGCAGAGAUGCUUUGGUGCCUUCGGGAACGCUGAGACAGGUGCUGCAUGGCUGUCGUCAGCUCGUGUUGUGAAAUGUUGGGUUAAGUCCCGCAACGAGCGCAACCCUUAUCCUUUGUUGCCAGCGAUUCGGUCGGGAACUCAAAGGAGACUGCCGGUGAUAAACCGGAGGAAGGUGGGGAUGACGUCAAGUCAUCAUGGCCCUUACGAGUAGGGCUACACACGUGCUACAAUGGCGCAUACAAAGAGAAGCGACCUCGCGAGAGCAAGCGGACCUCACAAAGUGCGUCGUAGUCCGGAUCGGAGUCUGCAACUCGACUCCGUGAAGUCGGAAUCGCUAGUAAUCGUGGAUCAGAAUGCCACGGUGAAUACGUUCCCGGGCCUUGUACACACCGCCCGUCACACCAUGGGAGUGGGUUGCAAAAGAAGUAGGUAGCUUAACCUUCGGGAGGGCGCUUACCACUUUGUGAUUCAUGACUGGGGUGAAGUCGUAACAAGGUAACC
Molecule: ribosomal RNA, 730 nt
Filed under: uncultured bacterium
Lineage: Bacteria
Description: bacterial SSU rRNA
Rfam family: Bacterial small subunit ribosomal RNA
Source: RNAcentral